This 164-nucleotide small nuclear RNA is filed under the name Paramuricea clavata. Its description in RNAcentral is "U1 spliceosomal RNA". It matches the Rfam family "U1 spliceosomal RNA". From Rfam's summary of the family: U1 is a small nuclear RNA (snRNA) component of the spliceosome (involved in pre-mRNA splicing). Its 5' end forms complementary base pairs with the 5' splice junction, thus defining the 5' donor site of an intron. There are significant differences in sequence and secondary structure between metazoan and yeast U1 snRNAs, the latter being much longer (568 nucleotides as compared to 164 nucleotides in human). Lineage: Eukaryota; Metazoa; Cnidaria; Anthozoa; Malacalcyonacea; Plexauridae. The record is from Rfam by way of RNAcentral.
AUACUUACCUGACGCGAGAGGCACCUUGAUCAACUAGGAGGUCCUCUCAGGAUGAGGCCCUUUCAUUGCACUUCGACUGCGUUGACUCCUGCGAUUACCCCUAAUGUGGGUAACUCGAGCGUAUAAUUUCUGGUAGUGGGGACCUGCGUUCGCGCUCGUCCCCU